GGGAAAAGAUGAAACUGCUCUAGGCAAGGACCUGGAGGCAGGGCUGAGCAAAGGGGACAUAAGUAGUACAAUGAAGAGCAUGUCAGACCAGCCAUGUUCCAAGGAGGGGGGAAAAAAUCAUCACCUAAAAUGCUCUGUGAAUGCAGAGCAGGGACUCAACACUCCUGUAAGACCCAAGGGGUAGACAGGAGUUCAGGACACUGGCCUUGCCCUCAAGGAGCUGGAUGUAUGGAGGAGACAGACCCACCACUGUUCAUCUGUUAGUUCAGCCCAGUUUCAGAGUCUUCUCCACCACCUCCACUCCUCCACACAGACUGGUGUGGGAGUAAAGCUGAAGAAGCCUCGCUAAGGGCAACUGAGCCUUCACCUUGACCAGGCGGCUUGGCUCCUAUGCUACGGGCAGGACUGCGAGGGGUCUGUGGGGAAAGAGCCAGUAAGUCCUUUCUGGAAAAGCAGGUCUCUCAGCCACCAUAGGCACUAGCUUCAAGGAUCUCCUUGUUGUCACCUGAACACACCUUGCAACAUGAGAGUUCAUGGAUGCAGCACUUCCCUGCACUUUGUAUGCCUAAUGUGUGCAUUACCUCACUCAAACCUCAUGGCAACCCUGUGACAUGUGGGCUUUUAUUAUUCCCACUGGCCCUGGGCUCAGCAGAGAGGAAGUCUGCAAGGAAUGGUCCACAGGAUCCCAGGAAAGACCGAUGGGGCUCAAAGCUGGGGUGAUCAUAGGAAAGCAUGAGGCCUGGAACUGGCCAGUGACAGAAGGAAAGCCCAAGGAGCAAGCAAGAAGAGACUCCCAAGAGCAGGGGGAAUGAUGGUCUCCCAUCCCUGGAAAUACUUGACCUGAAGACAGCUGGUUGAAUCAUGGCAGGGAGUAGUGGCAAUUAUGGCCUGUUGAUGGAGCAGAUUCCAGAAGCAGGAAAAUAUGAACUUUGAGCAAAUGGGGAGGGAACACCAGGAAGCUUUAGAUGAAAGGACCAUCCAGCUGAAGAGAAAGCUCUUGAAUCACCUAGCAUAGACAAGGGAUGAGCUGGAAGAGCCUUCUGUCAAGGAUUGUCAAGGUUCUGGAGAAUUGGAGGUGGACUCAGCCUAGAUCUCAGUUGGUUGUGUUUGAUGCAGGGGAGAGUCCUGGACAGGAGACAGAUUCUGGUUGUAGCCUACCACCAGCCUACUUGGGUGUUAUGCAAGCUCCUUCCCCUCUCUGGGCUCAGUUUCCCUGUUCGCAAACUUGCAGUGACAGUGGAUUGGACCACUUGGCCUGGAAGGGACCUCCCAUCUUUGGCAUUUUGAGCAUCUUUGGGCCCAGGGCCCAGCUGGCCAGUGCCCCUCAGGCUUGGAGGUUGAAUGCUGCUCCCCUGAGACCCAGUUUCAGGUGGGAAGAGCCCAUGUGCCUAGUGUAGGGUCUGGGUGGGCCUGAAGUCUCCUAGAUGACCAAGUUCUUAGCCCUGAAUGAGCAAGGCCACCUUGGGCCUUGGAGACAUGGCCUGCAUGGACAUGAGUGGAAGCAAGUACUGGUACUGACCCUGUGGUUUUCCUUCUUCUAAUUCAAUCCAUCAGAGGCUAUUCUCAUAGGUCUGUGCCAAGUGCACCAGGGACUUACCAUUGGAGGAAUCCCAUAGGCUCCAAGGUGUGUAAAACAGACCCCCAGGUCAUCCUCAGGGUGGUCUGCAUAGCUCAUGGCUGAAGCAACCACUGUCUCCUUAUAGUGCUCCUUAGCUCCAGGCUGGUGGGAGGAAAACACCCCAGAAGUGUCCUACAGACUGCCAUAGAGGGAUGCCACAGCCUGGAAAAAUACCACAUUUCAGAGAAUCCCAGACUCACAGUUGGAGUGGGGGCCCCUUAGUCAUCCGUCUUGGGUGAUUGAGGCCUAGUACAGAGAAUGGAGUGGUCCAAGCAAUACGGCUGUUAUGUAAUAGAUGUGGACUUUGAACCAGGUGCCUGGCUCACAGUGUAGUAAUCUCUGUGUGCCUCUCAAAGGCUGGCUGCUGGGAUCAAGAUGCAGGGAAAGAGCCCAGGGCAAGAGGCCAUGUUCUGGGAACGUGUUCUGGGAACUAGUUCUGGGAACUGACUUGCUGUGUGACCUUGGCAAAUAGUGUCUCUCAGAAGGAUGUCUCAGUUUCCCCUUCUGUGCAUUAAAGGCUUGGCUCUGGCAAUGGAUACCCCUUGGAAGAGCUGUUCAGGAUUUCAGGGCUAACUGCUCCAGAGCAGGAACCUUUCUCCUUUGCCAGACUUGGUGCUCACAGCCAGGCUGGGUCAGGUCCACCUCUGAGUCCUCAGCCCUGGUCCAGAGUAGGGGCCCAGAGAUAUCUGGGAUCUGCACAGUACCUUGGGCAUAUAGAGUACUUCCCAGCUGUCUUCAGUGAGUUCUGGUCAAACACCGUUGUGGGUGCUACAAGAACAGUGCAGGCAUCAUCGAGAUUGGACAGGGGAGUCCAAAGAGCUGGAUCCACAUGGCUCUGGGGAGCCUGGCCAGAGCCUACAGGCCAUACAUCCAUCCAGAAACUAACUGGGGCUUGUAAACUGUCUGGAAAAGUUUUGCCCCAGAAAGUUCCAGAGAGCUGGUGAGCUGUAGAAAGCCUUCAAUGGAAGCAGACGUUUGCCAAGUAGCAAUCUGAUUGGUUGGCCAUAGAAUCAAUCCAUGGGAUCCCGAAGCUUGUCUGGAGUGGUCAACAAUCAAGAAAGCCCACCUACGUCUAGACUAUCCUGGGGAAGAAGAAGCAGUUGAUGCCAUGCUGGAAGAGGAGCUGUCUGGCGCUGCUGCUGGUACAGGGCAAGGGCCAGAGGCUGGCACAUGGUGCCAGCUAUUCUCAAGGUUAAGUAACACAGGAUUGACUCUGGCUAGAAUAGAAGUCUCCAUCAGUGGGCUCUGGCUCGUCGCUCUCCAGGAACAUGCCAUGUGACCCUGGUCAAGUCACUAGUCUUCCCUGGGCCUCAGUUUCCUUUUCAGUUUAACGAGUAGGCUGGAGAAACUGGUCAGGAGCCUUCCAGCUAAGAUCCUAAACCGACCCCAGGCUGAGCCCAAGGAGAAAAAGGCUAAGGCAGGAAGCUGGAGGGGGCGUGGGUCUCCAGGGACCCCGGGGUAGUGAAGUUCUCACCUGGUGUUUUCACUGUGGCCUUGUCCAGAGAGGAUCCCCAAACGCGCUAGGCCUGGCAUCUUGUGUCCUUCCAAGGCUCCUAUGGAAGAAGAGUCUCUCUCCCCUGUUGGACGAAGGAAGAGUGGCACGAGGGGCAAGGCCAGGACCUCCUUUCUCCAUGGUUGAAAUUUCCCUAAAGUGAGUGGAGGGCGCUAGAAUGGGGGUGGGGUAUGUGGCGCGAGGGGCUUCCCGGGCCCAGGACCCGCGCAGGGCUCGCGGCUGGGGGCGGGGGCAGCUCCCGGCCUCUAGCGGAGCCGCCACUCCGCCGGUUGCCUUUAAAAGGCGCCAGCGCGCACGCAUCAGCAGAAGGGCUGCGGCUCUCUUCCAAAAUAGGCAAGAAUUGGGAGGCCGCGGGAGACAAACUGCUACCAGCGCAGACGUCACCCGGGGCCUCCCUCCCCCCCACCCCCGCCUGCAUCACGUCUCCAUGGCAACGGCGUACCGCGGCCGCAGAUGAAUGAGCUAGAGCUAGGAGAGGACCAGCGCGCAAACGCUCGCUCUUUCAGCACCAGGCUACCCUUGGGGAAGGAGAUGCAGACCCGGCGCUAGGAGGAAGGGGGCGCCCUCAUAUUCAAAAAGACUCCAAAACCCAUUCAUUACCAAAAGAACCUUUUGUGUCCCGAAAAUCCGGAAGCUACGUGGUCCAGAGACCCUCGAUCCUUUGAUCCAGGGCUUCUCAGGCCUCAGGGUUCCCCUUUUGCCCCCCAUUUCCCCUCCCAUUCCUCAGGUCUCUGCUCCCCAAACUGCGGAAAAAUCAAACAUCAUUGUGGCUUAGCGCCACCGCGUGGCCAGUGGUGGCGCUGCGUCAGGCGUGCUCGUGACCGGGGUCCCGCCGUCUAUGUCGUCCUCUGGUGUUUGCUAGUGGGAAGAGCCUAAAAGAUCUCAACAGUCUUCUCAAAAAGGACUCUAAUUAACAAGGCAUCAUUGAAACAUUAGUAGGUAACGUUUAGUGACUGCUCUCGAUGUGUCUAAACUGCUAAGCGUUUCAUUUGAGUCUCACAUCAACUCUGCAAUUCAGAUGAUGAUGAUGGCAGGUGAAAAUAACAGACUGAGAGAAGACUCCACCUGCCUAAGAUCCCACAAGUGUAAGGGGCAGAACUGCCACCUGAACUUAUGACUGUGAAUAGCAACUGUGACCCCCUCACUUCCAAAUCCAUGGUCUCUAUCGAUCCACCCCAGAGUCUCUUGUGGUAAGCAAGACAACACUUAUUAAAAUAAUUCUCAUUUUACAGAUAAGGAGACUGACACCCAGAGAAGUGAAAUGUUUUGCCCCAAGUUUCAGCAGCUAUGGAUAGAGUCCAGGUCUCUAGGCCCCUAACCUAGGGAUUUUUAGGCAGAUAGAUAACAGGGAAUCCAGCACACCCCUUUGAGACUUUGCCCCUUAGUAACAGACUGAGAAGACAAUUCAUCCAGGGCUACUCCUCCAUUAGCAAAUGCUCACGGACAGGAGAAGAGCAGGGACAUUCCCUCACCUCCCAGAAUUUUAAGAGUUCUUAGGAGCUAGAUGCUGCUUAUCUGAUCCACAUACAUUUAAAAAUGUAAACUGUGAGAUACCUGGGUGGCUCAGCGGUUGAGUGUCUGCCUUUGGCUCAGGGCGUGAUCCGGAUCCCAGCUCCCUGCAUGGAGCCCGCUUCUCCCUCUGCCUGUGUCUCUGCCCCCCUCUCUCUCUCUUUGUGUCUCUCAUGAAUAAAUAAAUAAAUAAAAUCUUUUUAAAAA
Molecule: long non-coding RNA, 4847 nt
Filed under: Canis lupus familiaris (dog)
Lineage: Eukaryota; Metazoa; Chordata; Mammalia; Carnivora; Canidae
Description: lncRNA (ENSCAFG00000052820.1)
Source: RNAcentral